Molecule: long non-coding RNA, 20556 nt
Filed under: Oryza sativa (Asian cultivated rice)
Lineage: Eukaryota; Viridiplantae; Streptophyta; Magnoliopsida; Poales; Poaceae
Description: long non-coding RNA (OSAT_LNC001142)
Rfam family: MIR821 microRNA precursor family (bases 4801-5088)
Source: RNAcentral
UGCCCUCCCCCUGUUCUCCACGUCACCUCUCCGCCCAACUCAAAUCCUCCAUGCCAUCCCCGCAACACACCGCUUCGCUGUGGAUGUUUGAGAAAGCACAUCUUAAAUUAACAGCAUCCCAGAAAUUAUUAGUAGCAGAGUGUAAAAUUCACUGUCGUUCCCCUCUAUCAAUGUCACACCCUGAAAAUUGUUAAAUUAUAAAUUGUUGUGAAAAAGGAAUUUUUAGAAUUUAUUUAAUAAUUAAAGCAAGUGUGUGAAUAAAAUCUAUGAAAAAAUUGAACAUAAACUUGAUCUAGAUAAAAUUUUAUUGAAUACUUUGUAUGCCCAAGUAUUCUCUGGAUUUUUUUCAGAAUUAUUUGAGUAUUGGAAUUAUUUUUAAUAAAUGAAAGAUCAUUUCAGCAAUUAUUUAAAUUAAAAAGUUAAUUAAAUUCUCUUCCUCAGUCUGGGCUGAAUCCUGCCCACUCCUCUCUCUCCCUUCUCCCUUCCGCAGCCCGUGCCUCUCCCUUGGCCGAAGUCUGCAUUAGCUCCCUCCUCCUUCUUUCUCUCUGACCCCUGGGGCCCACUAGGCUACAGUGCCAUCUUCCUCCUCCAGCAUCUCUCCCGUCCCGUGACCGUGAAGCCGACGCCGCAUCCUCCGCUCGAUCCGGUGCAUCCCGUGCUCCGUUUCCAAAAUUGGUUGCAAAAACGGAUUCCCCUCAAUCUCCUCUAUCUUAUCCCUAAGAAACCCCUUUAAAUACCGUUGUAUAUUGCGUGAAUUCGACGCGGUUUCGAGCUCCGUUUUUCCGGCGAAUCCUAACUAAUCCGUCGCCGAUUCCAUCCGUUCCCGAGCCGACCUCUCCCUCUUCCGGCUAUAAAUAGCAGCCCCUCGACCUCCUCUUCCGUUUCCUCCUUUUUCCCGAAUUUUUCCCUAACCCCUUCUUCUCCACCAGUGUUCGCCGUAAAGCCGCCGUCACAGUCGUCCCGAUCUCGCCGCCGCUCGAAGCUCGUCGCCGGCUGCCGUUCGUCGCCCAUCAUCAUGCAACUGUGGGUAAGGACUGUCUUGUUCUCCUCUUCGCUUUAGUGCUCUCGCUUUCCACCGUUGUGUCAUCAUUUGUCGUCGCCGGCCAUCUCCCGUUGCCGUUUUUCGUCGCCGUCACCAUUGGUGAGUUCGUCGUCGCGUCUUCUCUCUCCCGGAGCUGUCCCCUUAUCGUCGGAGCGUCGCCGUUCAGUCCUCGUUGCUAUCCAGAGCCAUCCGCCGGUGAUGAUGUUAUCGCUGACAUCCACAUCAUCUCAAGCCAUUGCAAAAUCAAUAUAAAUUUUGUUAUCUCUUUUCAAUGACAUAUUAUUCCUUUUUAAUAUAUGUUACCUACGAUCUAAUCUAUUUUCGGAGGAUGUUUUAAUCUUUUGUCUCAGCUAUAAAUCAUCUGUAAAUUGUUUAAUCAAUUUGGAUUAGUCUUUUCUUUAAUAGGUUUAAUUGGAAUUAAAUCUUGUAAAAUUCAUAUCUAACUCAUACGAACUCGGAAUGAGGUCGUUCAAGUCCCAUAAUUCAUCUAAAUUCAAGCUCUACCUAUUUAUGAACUUUAAUUGUACUGUUCAUUUGGUUUUUAUUAGUGUUAUAGGUUUAGUUUUCCGUUGUUUCGGAGGAUCGUUCGUUCGUUGGAGAAGUUCCUGAAGACGAAUUGAAGACGCUUUUUCGCAAGGCAAGCAUGUUGAAUCCGUUUAAAGCUAAUGUUUUAUUUCAAGUUAUGCAUUAUUUUAGAAUGUCAUCGGGUGGUGAACCUUUCUCAUUUAAUUAUGGCCGAAGAUGGCUUUAUUUUCCUAUGGGUUAUAAUUUGACUAGCAUCGACCUUAUAUAUCGGAUUGGUUCAGCUAGAUGUUAUUUAUAGUUGCUUAGCCGUGCUUAGAAACAUUAGCUCAUUAAUGGGAUAAAUUAUGCUUCACUAUUACUUAUGGUUAUAUUUAAUGGUAGCUCACGAUGGUUAAUCGUGUUAUGAUAAUUAAUUGAUAAUUAAAAUAUGAUAUAUGGUGGGUUGUGAGCACAUGGUUUUGAAGGUCGUGCUCAUGACAAUUAAGGACCGGUUCGCGAGCUACUGUUGUAAAAUAUUAACCGUGCCAACAACAUGCCAGCGUGGGCAACAGCUUUACCUUUUGUAUAGCCUGGUUCAUUACGGGGUGCCAGACUGAGAAGCGGCGAGAGGUCCGUGGGGGUCGCUGGGGAAUCCAUGCCUCUGGUUUUUGAGGGGGUGAUUAUGAUCCAGGAAUGGUGCACUGUGGUGAGUUGUGUUGGGCAAAGGGUAUUGUCACGAUUUCCCCAUUUGCAGUGCCGUGGUGGUACUUCGGGGCAUGGCAACAUGUGUGGAAUCGUGUCUUGUGGGUACAGUGGUACAUCUCUGGCCAGAGUAAAACUAUUCGAAUAGCCGUGCCCGCGGUUAUGGGCGGGUCUAACAAUGUUUUUCGUGAUUAGUCCCACACUACUCAUUAAUGAUAACAAUGUGAUAAUUAAUUUGACUCCUGGUUUAGAAUGGAUAAUUCCUGGUUUGGAGGUUUGAUCUGUACGACCGGGGUUGGUUGUUCAGGUUUGGUUGGGCCUGAGCAGCAUGGGUGUGCUGUUCAGUGUUGAUUAAUAUUGAUGAUUAAUUACUCUACUGUUUUACAAAUUUUUAAAUCUUUGCUAAAUACUGCUUUCGCAAAUGAACCCUAUAUUAUGCCAUCCUUUGGUAUCCUUGUGCACUUGCAUACUUGCUGUGUGGCUUGCGGAGUAUUCCAUGUACUCACCUUGCAAUAAUCAUCAAACCUCAGUUGAAGAAAAAGGAUCCAGAAGGAGAAGACCUUUGGUUUAGAUCCCAGUUGAGCUGCCUGUGGGAGUGGAGCUGAAGCUUCGCUAGGUUUUAUUUUUCCGCUGCAGUUUUCUUCAUGGUAAGGACUAAGUGCCUCUUAUGUAAGUAUUUAUUUGCUUUAGUUAUUUUGAUGAAUCUGUAUAUUAAAUUGUCAGUUUGUGUACCUCGGUUAAGUCCUGGACGAGGGUCUUAAUGCACAAAUUAGUUCGGAAAUUACUUAUGAAUUUCUGGGCGUGACAAUCAACUAUCCUUCUCUCCCAUAGUACCCAACCUUAGAAUCGUUUCCAUGACCCUGAAGGCUGAAGCAAUAGAAUAAACACGGAGCUACUUUGCAUUAUCAUUUCGGUUUAACUUUGUAACAUGGUAAAUCAUAAAGGUUACCUAUGGGAUGACAAAUCCCACAUCAUUUCCCUGGUGGUCUGCAUUACGAUUCUGAAUUCUAAUACCUCAAAUUUCCUCUACAUAGAAAUGACAACAAUAUAUUAGUCGAGUUCUGCAUAAUCAGCCGCACUGGUUUAGGCCUCAGAUCAAGAUUGUUUUCAGUUGCAUGGAUUGAUCCGAACAGCAAGUACUGCACCAAGAGAGGGAACACUUACGCUAGUUGAGGUCAUCGAAUUUCUGUGAAAGGUCGUCGUACCUCUCACCUUGGCUUAAUGGUGUAGGAGGAUACGUGGGGCAACCAGUAUUGCAUGAAUAAUGUCUCGCGGCGCUAGGUAGGAAUGAGCUCGCACUCCAGAACGGCCUCGUGGACCUGCCGGACGGUGGCCUUGAGGAGAAGAUGGGCAACGGCUAGGAGCGGGGUCUCAGGGGGUGGAUGCACGUCGGUGAGUGCUGCGGCGCCGAUGGAAUGGAGGUGGCGUGAGCAGGUGCGUGGGAAAGCGCGAAGGCAGCGGAGAGGAGAUGGAGGAGAGGACGAUGGGCCACCGGGGAGAGCUGUGGCGCCACUCCUCCCUCCCCUUCCAAUCUCAGCCACCGUCACUCGAGCUCCCGCCACCUUGUGAGGCCAGAUCGAUGGUGAAGAGAGGGUUGUUGGCGGCGUUCCUAUCGAUUUGAGGUCGGCGGCGCUUGCAUCGGGAGGGACUUGAGAUGGCAGUGCGACAGUGAUAUGUGAUUGAUGAAACUUGAGGCAACUGCGAGGCGAAGGUGGCUAUGAGAGGGGAGGGAGACGGAGCGGUGGCCGGCGGCAAAGACUGAAGGCCUGCGAGGUGGCGGUGGCUAUGCAGAUCGGCGAGGGCGGAAGAGGCGAUGCGCAACGGAGGUGAAGGGGAAAGAGCGCAAAGAAGGUGGGGGAGGGGUCGAGGUGCGAGUGGCGGAGGGGGAGGCGAUCCGUAACCGAGGGGAUACGCGACGUAAUCUGGACCGUUUGAUCCUGUGAUCCAACAACCCUGUGGGUUGGGGUGGGGGAGCGGGCGGAGGAGGAGGAGAGCGAAGGGAUCGAUCUGGCCGUUGGAUCUGGUGAUUGUACGGAUAGAAUGGUGCGUGUCCGUCAGGGUUGGAGUCACUGUCACCACUACGGAAUUUUAAAGUAGUAGAGAUAUAGGUGAUAUCCAUCGGAAAUCAGAUAUCCGUCAGAUAUUAUCGGGUAUUUUCCAUCGGAUAUCCGACUUACACAUAAGGCCCAUAAUACAGCCCAACCCAAAGAAGAGGCAAAUCAAACUUCUUGGCAAAAAUGAAUUUCGAUUUGAAUUUUAUGAUACUAAAUGAACUCAUAUGAAAAAGUUGUCAAAAACAAAGUUGUAGAACUCAUUUCUCCAUCCGAGUUUGAUUGAACUAUAUAAAAUUUGAAUUUUAAAAUAUAAGAAAUUCAAAUAAUAUUUUUGGGUAGUAACUGAUUUCAAAUGGAAAAAUUGUCAAAAACAAAGUUGUAUUCUUAUCAAGAUCUAUAACUUUUAUUUUGAUCAUUUUUCUAUAUGACUUUGUUUGAACAGUUUGAAUUUAAAUUUAAAAGUAUGACAACUUCAAACAAUAUUUUCAAAUACUAAAUCAUUUCAACUGAAAAAGUCAUCAACUUCAAGUUGUAUAACUCAACAAGAUCUAUAACUUUUAUUUUGAUCAUUUCUUCAUCCGGUAAAGUGAUAGUAAUAUUGUUCAUAAAAUUUGCAUAUCUCUCAUUUGCAUAUCUCUCAUUUGGUUUUAUAAAAUAUAAGAGAGAGAUGUAAAUUUUAUGAACAAUGUUACUAUCACUUUGUCGGAUUAAGAAAUGAUCAAAAUAAAAGUUGUAUGUCUUGAUGAGUUGUACAACUUUUAUGUUCAUGACUUUUCAGCUGAAAUUAUUUACUGCUUCAAAAUAUUAUUUGAAGUUUUAAAAUUCAAAUUUUUAAUUGAUAAAACAAAGUCAUAAGAAAAAAUGGCCAAAAUAAUAGCAGUAAAAACAUAAUAACAUGAUAGAGCAUAAUUUAGAAACACAAUAGCAAAAAUCGUUUGUUAGUAGUGAGGGGUUUUUAUAUUCUGAUUAAUAUAAUAUUCGUCACCGUAUUCGUUUCGCUUCGUAUUCGCUCCGUAUUUGUAUUCGAUAAUAUUCGAUUCCGUUUUCAUAUCCAGAUUUCUGAUUCCGAUUUCGAUUUCGAAAAAAUUAUGAAAACGAAUAUGACAGAGCAGUUUCCGAUCGUAUUCGAUCCGCUUUUAUCCCUAUUUAUAUGUAGUGGGGUGGACUGCUCACUUGUACUUCCAUUGCCAUCUAUUAAUUACUCAACUUUUUGUUAUGUGUGGCAGGGAGAUGGAAAGCUGAACGUAUGGGCGAUAGUCAGAUAGGGAUCGGAAAGAUUCGACCAGGAUUUAGUUUGAUUGUGAAAAAAUCGGGUCCAUCUGCUCAAAAUCUGACGGUUAAUACAUAUAUAGUGAUGAUGUGGGGUGAGCUGUGGAACAAGCUAUGCCUAUGGGUACCAAAUAUUGAAAGAAAGGAUAUCGAGAGUUUUCUCACCGUUUCUUGUAUGCGACACGCGAGGGAUGCAAACAAAGCAACCGCAUCCUACUAUUUGCGACACGCGUGCGUGACACAGCUGCAUGCACGUCGCAGCACGUCCAAGUAACUAAGCGUGUUGGCUAUACCUAUACUCCCUCCGUCCCAAAAUAUAGCUAUUUUUAGCAAGUGUCUUGUUCCAAAAUGAACUAUUUCUUCACCUACCUCCUCCUCUCAACCAAUCACAACCAUUCUUCUUCACCUACUUUCUCUUUUCAACCAAUCACACACUUCCUCCAAUCAUUCUCACCUACUUUCUUAAUACCCGUGCCAACCUCAAAAAUGGCUUCAUUUUGGGACGGAGGAAGUACUAUAUAUAGUCCCUCCAUUUCAAAAUAUUUGACACCGUUGACUUUUUAGUACGUGUUUGACCAUUCGUCUUAUUCAAAAAAUUUAAGUAAUUAUUUAUUCUUUUCAUAUCAUUUGAUUCAUUGUUAAAUAUAUUUUCAUGUACACAUAUAGUUUUACAUAUUUCAUAAAUUUUUUUUAAUAAGAUGAAUAAUUAAAUAUAUGCUAAAAAAUCAACGGUGUCAAACAUUUUAAAACGAAGGGAGUACUAUAUAUAUCAUAUAUAUCUAGUGCGCAUCGAUCCCUAGUGGAGUGGUAGCACAUGCCCCAGAGAGGCGCACACACCAGUGCAGCAAUGAGAGGCUAACCGAUCAGAUCAUCAAGCUCAAGCAAGCUAAAAUCAAUGAUCGAUGACGUGCCUAAGCAACAGUCGCCAUGGAUGCUGCCUUUUUGUUCGACCGAUGCUGGUGCUGGUGAUGGUGCUGGAGCUGACGAUAUUGAUUCCGCCGGCUAGCUGUCUUGCAAGUCCGGUUCGGAACAUCUCGGCCAUCUUCAUCUUCGGCGACUCGACCGUCGAUCCAGGCAACAACAACAACCGCCUGACGCCGUCCAAGGCCAACUUCCCGCCGUACGGCCAGGACUUCCCCGGCGGCGUGGCCACAGGCAGGUUUUCCAACGGGAAGGCCAUGAGGGACAUGAUAGGUAUGUGAAAGUACUUAAUUCGGUGGCACAAACAAUCUGUGAGAUUAAUAUAUACCUCUGUGCGUGUUUUUGUUGUGUUUGUUUUUUCUGUUGUAGUAUUGUCACCUAUAUAUAAAUUAAGUCUUAAUGAAAAAGAUACGCAGCGGCUCAUCGCUCGAGCGUAUUAAUAAAUGAUUAAGCAUCCUAGCUGACUUUAGUUCUUCUCUAGGGCUUGUUCCCUUAUUCCCUUCCGAAAGGGAAUUGGAGAUAAUUUAGGGCGAAUAUUUCCCUCAUGCUCAUAUGGUGACUCGUUGAUCGAUCAAAUAUGGAAUUGUCCUAUGUUAGCAUAGAAAAUUAUGGUGAAAUUAGGGCGCUUUUUUUGCAUAUAGGUUGUGGGUGAUCAGCUGCACGCAAAACCAGAAAUACGAUUAACAUAUGAUUAGUUUAAUAUUAAUUAUUAAAAAUUUAGAAAAUAGAUUUUUUGAUUUUUUUUUCACGAUUAAUAACUUAUUUUUUAUGAAACACACCGUUUAGAAAAUAGAAAACGAGGAGUAUCUAAUUAAGUUCAGUUAGCUCUUAAGAACGUUACCCUAGUUGGAUACGCUAGUUAAUUCUCAUCCAAAAUCUCAAGCCCAUGAUAUCUAUAUGGAUUUAUAUAGCAUUUUCUUAGGGGAAAAAAACGUGAGAGAGAAUUCAUUAAAUCCUAUUAUCAUUAAAUGGACUCUGUAGUUUUUAUUUUAUUUUAAUUCAAGACAUCAAACCGAGUGUAACUGAACUUAUAACUUCUAAAUUUCACAAUUAUUGAAUUAAGUAAUUGAAAUGCACUACUAUAAAAAGACACAUAGAGACGACAUCAUAGAUACCGGAACAGCUAAAACCGACACUUAAAAUACUUUUCCCACCCACACAAAAAACCACAGGGGCACGCACCAGCCGCAAAAACCGGCACCUAUCUUCCUUGUCAGAGAAAUGUACGCUCACUUCCCAUUGUCAAUAAAUUCCAUGAAUAAACACACAAGUAUGUAUACACAAAAAAAUUUAAGAACAACGAUCAGAUGCCUACUCUAUUGGUGGAGAAAACACCUAGGUAGAUUGAGCAGGUCGGGCGGCCACCCAGUGCUACAGAGCACUUUUUUUCAAGCAAAUUUGCCACCGUUUUUUCAAUUUUGCAAGGAUGCCACUCGAAUGAUAAUUCCAGUGGUAUUUUUGCAUUUUUUAGUGGCAGUUUUACAAUAACGAUUCAAAGCAAUGGUAAAUUUGUAAUUGACCCUUUUUUCAAACGGCCGAAGUCAGUCUGCAGCCACUAGCCAGACGACUGCUCAAUCGCCUGGAGCAUGGUGUAUGUGGAAAUCUAUAUUUUGCCCUUACGGGUAUAACAACCCCAUGUGAAGAAGUAUUUUGCACGCGGGCACGUAAAGCCGCCAUCCUAUGAAAUGUUUUUGGCGAAAAAAAUUAAAAUUCAAAAACACAAAAUUUCCAAAAACCCUAGCUCGAUUUGAUCCCAUCACCACCGGUAGUCGGUGAAUCUGCCGUCUUUGCUGUAGUUCUCCAUCUUUGUAGCCACCGUCAUCGGAUCCUACGUUCCCAUCACCGGGGCCACCAGAUCCGUCCACGGGGGAGACAGAGAAGCAAUGGAGGGAAGAGGGCCCCGCCACAUCAGGUUAAGCCCCUCGCAUCGCCGCCGCCACCGGAUCCGUGCAAGAGAACUAGGAGAAGUCAUGUUGUGGAGAGGUUGCCACUACCUCUGGGUCCGCCCCUCCUGAUGGAAGAUGGCGGAGAAGCGAUGGACGGGAGAGGCUAUCACCGGACACGCCCUAGCUAGGGCUGUAGCCGUUGGAUCUGUCGUCUCUAGGCUAGCCACUGAUGGAUCCGCUGUGCCUCGCCCCUCAUGUCAUAGCCAUUGGAGAGGGAGUGUCAUGGCCGACCUCUGCCGUUGCCACUAACCACCACUCAAGCCACCAUUGCCGCCCACCUCUGCGCCGGCCGCCAUCUCCGCCACCUUCCAUCGCUGACCACCGCAUCGGAGAGAACGGGAGGGAGUGAGUGAGAACUAGAGGCUAAGAGGAAAGGAGCAUCGCAGCAAAGCUCCGACCCAGCCGCCGUCACCUCAGAGUUAUGUAGCUAACCACUACACCAGACAGAACGAGAGGGAGUGAGUGAGAACGAGAGAUAAGAUAAGAUAGCAUGAGAUAGUGAGGAGAAGCUCUUAAGAAAGGCCAAUAUGAAGGAAGGUGGCGGAGAUGGUGGCAUGUCUAGAAAAAUCAAUUUUUAUAGCUGGACUUUUAUGGAACACACCGGCUAAAACUUUUUUUGUAUGGGUCAUAUUUUACGAUUUUCGCAUACGGGCGUUUACCGACACCGCUAAACUUUUUAAAUAUGGGUCUUAUUUUAGGCUGUUUGUAAAAAUAAAGGAGUGAUGUAUGUACAAACCAUAAUUAUGCAUACGUGCUGUGAUAACUCAAACUCCUCCAUCCACACAAUAACAUAAUUUGACCCAUCAUGCCUUGUCCUUGCCAUCUGCCACCAUGCUCUAUAUAAAAUUACUGUACCAAUUUUGUUUCUGGUAUCUCCAUUUACUUGGGCAUAAUGGUAAGGUUUACAUGAUGUUUUAAUUUUUCUUAAAGUCAAAUUUCUCUAGGUUUGACUAAGUUUAUAAAAAAAAUAUUAUCAAAAUAUAUCCAAUGUUAGAUUCAAUGGUAUUAAAUUGGUGUUAUAGAUAUUACUGUUUUUUCUAUAAACUUAUUAGUCAAUUUGACUUAAAAAAAAGUCAAAAAUGACUUAUAGUAUGAGACAGAGGGAAUAGUUGAGACCAAUCUUUGUUAUGUUUUUAUCAAACAUGUAUACUGUACUUGCAAACACUAAUCUAAUGUAAGAAGAUUUGGAACUCUCAGAGAGAGUAGUUUGCAACCCGAACAAGAAUUUGUAUUUGUGUAUCAAGAAUUCUAUUAGGAUUUCAAAAACAGUUCACUUUGGGAUAUGUAAAUUUGUGUAUCUUGUCCAUUUUACCAUGAAAAAUCAAGUUUUGAUGAGUUUUUUUUAUCUGAACUUAUUUACUGAUAUUAUUAAUUGAUUGAAUAACAUGGUAACUCCGUAUGAAUAUCUGGUUUAUUAUAAUUAAGAUUAUUUCGAACAGCUUCAAAAUUGGGUGUUAAGGAGCUAAUUCCUCCUUAUCUCGGCGAUGGUCUUCAACUUGAUGAUCUACUCAGUGGGGUAGCAUUUGCUUCUGGGGGCAGUGGAUAUGACCCUCUCACUUCUAAAAUAACGGUACAAUUUUACUUCUUAGAACUUAUGUCUCAAUACAAACUGCUCUCUAAUUAUUAUCCAGUUUCAAUUUGCACUGUAAAGUAAGAUUACAGUGUAAGACACACACACACACACGCAUAUACAGCUAAUAUUACUUCAGACGUAUUUUCUGAUUUUCAGACCGCGAUAUCAAGUAGUCAGCAGCUUCAAUUAUUCGAGGAAUAUAAGGAGAAACUAAAAUCAUUGGUUGGAGAAGAGGAUAUGACACAAGUUGUCGCAGAAGCCGUCUACUUUACCUCAAUGGGGGGAAAUGACCUUGCAAACAAUUACUUCUUAAUUCCUUUUAAACAGCAUCAGUAUGACCUUGGUUCUUAUGUGGACUUCCUUGUAUCUUUAGCAGUCAACUUCACAUUGGUAAGAAGUAUGGUCCCAUGAAAUGCAUGAUUUUUUAAGACAAUUUACAUAUAUUGAAUAUUUGAACGUUUCCAAGAUAAAUCACGCUUUGUGUACAUCUGAUUGGAAUUUCUUGGUUGUAGUUGCUGAUUUAGAUUUACAGUGAAUACUCCAUUAGUCCUAAAAUUUAAGAAGUUGUGGAGUUAGGCGUAGGAAAGUAGGUGGGUAGGUCACUGUAUUCCAAGACAGUGAAUGCUAAAAAAUGAUAUAUUUUGGGAUGGAUUGAGUAGUCCUUUUCCAUUCUAAAUUGUUUUAUGCAUCUGAGUUUGAAUAUGUAAUGUAACAUUAUACUUGUUUGCAUAUUAUACAGCAACUGAAUCAAAUGGGUGCUAAGAGGAUUGGAUUUUUUGGAAUUCCUCCAGUUGGUUGUAGCCCUUCACAAAUAAUCCUCGGAGGACAUCCUUCAGAAAAAUGUGAUCCAGAACGAAACCAUGCGUCAGAGCUAUUUAAUUCUAAAAUGAAAAUGGAGAUAGCUCGACUAAAUGCAGAACUGAACAUUUAUGGGCUCAAAUUGGCUUAUAUGGAUUUCUACCGCUAUCUGCUAGAACUUGCCCAAAAACCAGCUCUUUAUGGUACGUUAAAUUACAUAUUAAAAUAAGAGAGAGAUUAACUGUUUCGCACAAAAACAAAUAAUUACAUACAUAAUUAUUAUGGAGUGUUAAAAUAUUACAUGUUGAGCAACCGGAAAAGUAUGUGGUGAAUGGAUAUGAUAUAAAUUUCCGAAUGAUAAUUGAUGAUCUGCAUGAGCGUGUCGCAUUCAACUACUAAUUAUUAAUUCUGGGAGGUGGUCUGUACGAACAUUUUUAUACUGACGCCGAUCUGAAAUUUUCCAUUAUACAGGUUUCAAGGUUGCAGCUGUGGGAUGCUGUGGUAGUACCUUGCUCGAUGCUAGCAUAUUUAUUGCAUAUCACACUGCAUGCCCAAAUGUCCUUGAUUAUAUUUACUGGGAUGGCUUCCAUCCCACUGAAAAGGCCUAUAGCAUUGUGGUUGAUAAUAUGAUGAGGGUAAUUAAAGAGCAUUUGAUGUGAAGGGGAUAAUACUAUCAUAUAUUGUUAGUGAUAUGUCCUAGAGGCAAUCAUAGAGAUGAUUGUAUCACAUACUAUGUUUUCAUAUUUAUCCGACAUUCACUGGUGGAGAAACCAUCUUUCGUCGGUCGGCCGAAUUCCACAAUAGUCCCGGAUGCAAUAAAAACCGGGGCUAAAGAUGAUCUUUAGUCCCCGGUUAAAAAGAGUUACGGGCAUAUUUGAUCUUUAGUCCCGGUUGGUGAUCUUUAGUCCCGGUUCAAAUGCUGUCAGGGCUUGUCAGCCCCCCCGGAUCUUUAGUCCUGGCUAGUAACACCAACCGGGACUAAAGAUCGUAACUUUAGUCUCGGUUGGUGUUACUAACCGGGGCUAAAGUCCGGUUAGUAACACCAACCGGGACUAAAGUCCCACCUCUCUAUAUAUAUGUCUUCUUCCUCCUCCAGCUGCCCGAGCAAGCUUCAAAAUUUCUUCAAAAAAGAGGGGAGGUCAUGCCAAAAUUUCUAGUGAAUUUAUUUUGGUGAUUACAUACAAAUCGGAGGUGCCUAAAAGGUUUGCAAAUUCAUCCUCCAAUGUUUUUUUUUGUCAUAUUACAUUUGGAGCUAUGUUUUGCACACUUUUUUGUCUCCAAAAUUUAGUUGUAAGUUGAUGAGAGAGAAAAUUUGUGUGGGGAAGAAAGAAUAUAUAGAAAUUUAGUUUAUUUGCUAAAGAAGGUUUUAUAAAAUAGUUGAGAAGGAAAAUAUAGUGAAAGUUAAUCUUAAAUAAUAGAAACAAACUAAAAUGAAAAUUAAAAGAAGUAAAACACAUUAAAAUUAGUUUAAAACUUUAGAAAUAGUAAAUAAGUAAAACACGUUGCGGAUGAUCUUGGUUAGAUGUUGCAGGACACCAAGAAGGACUGCGAAAGUGAAAAGGAGCCCCAUAAAUUGAACAAGAUGUUAGAGGACCACAGAACAUUGUUGUACCCAGGUUGCGAGCAGGGGCAUAAAAAGUUGGAUACCACUCUGGAGUUCUUGCAAUGGAAGGCAAAAAAUGGGGUUAGUGACAAGGCAUUUGGCGAUUUAUUGAAACUCGUCAAGAACAUUCUUCUGGAGGGAAACAAAUUGCCCGAGACAACGUACGAGGCUAAGAAGAUAGUCUGCCCUCUAGGAUUGGAAGUUCAGAAGAUUCACGCAUGUCCGAAUGAUUGUAUCCUAUAUCACGGUGAGGAGUACGAGAACCUAGAAGCAUGCCCUGUUUGCAAUGCACUACGAUACAAGAUUAGACGAGACGAUCCAGGAGAAGUUGACGGGCAGCUAACAAGCAAGAGAAUUCCUGCUAAGGUGAUGUGGUAUUUCCCUAUAAUACCAUGGCUAAGGCGUUUGUUCAAGAACAAGGGGAAUGCUACAAUGAUGCGAUGGCACGCUGAAGAGCGUCAACAGGACGGGAUGCCGAGACACCCCGCCGAUGGUUCGCAGUGACGAAACAUCGACAGAAAAUUUAAAGACUUUGGAAAGGACGCACGAAACAUACAGUUUGGUUUGAGUACGGAUGGCAUGAAUCCUUUUGGAGAGAUGAGUAGCGGCCAUAGCACUUGGCCCGUUACGAUGUGUAUCUUCAACCUCCCCCCUGGCUAUGCAUGAAGAGGAAGUACAUAAUGAUGCCGAUUAUUAUUCAAGGCCCCAAGCAACCUGGUAAUGACAUCGAUGUGUACCUAAGACCACUGGUCGAAGAUCUUAAACUGUUGUGGAAGAAGGAAGGUGUCCCCGUGUGGGACGAGGACAAACAGGAGGAGUUUAACCUACGAGCGCUGUUGUUCAUAACCAUCAACGAUUGGCCUGCACUUAGCAACCUAUCCGGACAGUCCAACAAGGGGUACAAGGCUUGCACUCACUGUAUGGAUGAAAGAGAAAGUACGUAUCUUAAGCACUGUAGGAAGGUUGUAUACAUGGGUCAUCGUCGAUUCCUUGCAGCAAACCACCCGGUAUGGAAGAAAGGCAAGCACUUCGAACAUAAGGCUGACAAUCGUAGGAAGCCUAAACAUCGCAGCGGGAAAACAGUGUUUGCUAUGGUUAAAGAUCUUAAAGUAGUGUUCGGAAAGGGGCCUGGAAGCCAGCCUAUAGAGAGCAAAGAUGGUCACGCGGCGAUGUGGAAAAAGAACUCUAUAUUUUGGGAGUUACCCUAUUGGGAAUUCUUGGACGUCCGCCACGCAAUCGACGUGAUGCACCUCACUAAGAACCUUUGCGUAAACCUCCUUGGCUUCCUAGGUGUAUACGGAAAGUCAAAAGAUACAUUGGAAGCACGUAAUGAUCUAAAGCAUAUGGAACAACGCGGCGACCUUCACCCGGAACCAAAGGAGAAAUGAAGCCAUUACUUGAGUCCAGCCAGCUACACUCUUAGCAAGGCAGAGAAGGAAAGUAUGUUUGAAUGCUUGGAGAGCAUAAAGGUACCGUCUGGAUACUCCACGAAUAUCAAGCGAAUUAUAAGCACGAAGGAGAAGAAGUUCACAAACCUAAAGUCUCAUGACUGUCACGUGUUGAUGACACAACUGCUACCAGUUGUAAUAAGGGGUAUCCUUCCAGACAAUGUCCGGGCAACAAUAACAAAGCUAUGUGCAUUCAUGAACGCAAUUUCGCGGAAGGUCAUCGAUCCGGAUAGAUUAGAAGCCCUUCAGAAUGAUGUACUUCAAUGUCUCGUUAGUUUUGAGUUGAUAUUUCCACCUUCAUUUUUCAAUAUAAUGACGCAUCUGCUUUGUCACCUUGUGAAAGAGAUCAGUAUUCUCGGGCCUGUGUACCUACACAACAUGUUUCCUUUCGAGAGGUACAUGGGCGUUCUGAAGAAGUAUGUUCGUAACCGUGCUCGUCCAGAAGCAAGCAUCGCCAAGGGUUAUGGAACAGAGGAGAUCAUCGAAUUUUGCAUAGAAUUUAUUGAAGACCUUCGCCCAAUCGGGAUACCUGAAUCACGCCAUGAAGGGAGACUACGGGGAAAGGGAACUCUCGGAAGGAAAGCAAUAAUGACGGUAGACAACAAUUUAUUCCGUAAAGCCCAUUUCACGGUUCUGCAACAAUCUUCAUUGGUAGCUCCUUACAUCGAGGAGCACUUGGCUCUAGUUCGCGCCAAGAACAUCGGUAAGUCCGAUGCAUGGAUUACACGGCAUCACAUUGAUACUUUCCCCGCGUGGCUACGACAAUAUCUCAUGGGUAACGAGUCGAUCAACCAACAACUUGCCUUCCUGGCGAGGGGACCGUCUGGGUCGAUCGCGACAUUCUAGGGAUAUGAGAUCAAUGGGUACACAUUCUACACGAGAGCCCAAGACAUGAAGAGCACGAACCAAAACAACGCUGUUCGUGUCGAUGCCAUGGGACACGAUGUAACAACUGACACGUAUUACGGUGCCAUCGAGGACAUAUGGGAACUUGACUAUGGUCCUCUCAAGGUUCCUCUGUUCCGGUGCCAAUGGGUUAGGUUGACUGGUGGAGGCGUAAUGAUUGAUGACAGUGGGAUGACAACGGUUGACCUUAACAAGGUUGGAUACUCGGACGAACCUUUUGUCCUUGCCAAUGAUGUAACGCAAGUCUUUUACGUGAAGGACAUGUCUAGCAAAGGAAAGAAGGGCAGAGGGCCUGACGAGCCUAAGCGUCACGUGGUUCUCCCAGGCAAAAGAAAAAUUGUCGGAGUUGAGGACAAGACUGACGAGGAUUACGAUGAGUUGGAUGGGCAACCCCCUUUCACGGUGACGAUUGACCCUAGCAUCCUCCUAUCAAAUGAAGACACCCCUUACUCAUGUAGCGAUCACAAGGAGGGAACGAUAGUGAGGAGAAAGUACGUGCGGUCAACCGUCACCGCCGAUGUAUUGCCGUAAUUAUUGUGUACAUGAUGUAAACUAUUUUGGAUGUAUUGAUUAUCCAUAUAAAUCAAUUGUUGUAUGGCAUAUGUUAAUUACGCACGACUAUUAGAGGUUUUAACAAGUUUAAAUCAUGUAUAUGCUAGUUAUAUGCGAUAAUUACAAUUUUUAAAAGUUUUAAAUCACGCAGGUGGCAUUUUCAUAUGUUAAUUAGAGUUUUUAACAAUUAAUUUAAUAUCAUUCAUAUGCUAAUUAUAUAUGACUAUUCGAAUUUUUAAAAGGUUUAAAUCAUGCAUGUGGCAUUUACAUAUGUUAAUUAGAGUUUUUAACAAUUAAUUUACUAUCAUUCAUAUGCUAAUUAUAUAUGACUAUUUGAAUUUUUAAAAGUUUUAAAUCAUGCAUGUGGCAUUUACAUAUGUUGAUUAGAGUUUUUAACAAUUAAUUUAAUGUCAUUCAUAUGCUAAUUAUAUAUGACUAUUCGAAUUUUUAAAAUUUUUAAAUCAUGCAUGUGGCAUUUACAUAUGUUAAUUAGAGUUUUUAACAAUUAAUUUAAUAUUAUUCAUAUGCUAAUUCUAUAUGAUUAUCCAAAUUUUUAUUAAUUUUAAAUAAUGCCGUAUGUAUAUACAUAUGUUAAUUAGAGUUUUUAACAAUUUAAUAUCAUUAAUAUGCUAAGUAUAUAUGAUUAUUAGAAUUUUUAUUUAUUUUAAAUCAUAUAUUUGCUUAUUACGUUUUAUCAACUUAAUUUAUUACAGACAACAAUAAUUUUUCGAAGUAAUUGUCAUUAAUUUUUGUAUUUUAAAUAAUUUUAGUGCAUUAUUUUCUAUUUUAGAAACACAUAUGUAAUGGAAAUUUAUAUUCAGUGCGCUUAUCAGUAGUCCCGGUUCUUAUCCCUAACCGGGUUUAAAAAGAAUUUGGAAAUAGCGGGAAAAUAUCUUUAGUCCCGGUUGAUGAGAACAACUGGCUCCCGGUUGUUCUCAUCAAACGGGAAUAAAGAUCUAGGGGACCAACACUUAGAAGUUUUUGCCUGAUCAAUCUCUCUCGGCUUCUCCUUCGCCGCCACUGCCUAGGGCAUCCCCGCACCGACACCGCCGUCGUUUCUCGCCGUCGUCUCGCGCUCGUUGUCGUCGCCGCCUCCGCCUCCUCCUCCGCCGCCGCAUCUCUGGGGUGAGAGCCGCCGCCGCCUCCCUCUCAGCUCUCUCUCUCCGAUCUCGAUCUCUCUCUCUCCCUCUCGGUUGACGCCGGCCGCCUCGUUGCCGACGCCGACGCCGACGUCGUCACGACACGACACCGCGCCACGACACCGCGGCGGCAUGAAACGCCGAGACGCCACGACGCCGCCGCGGCACAUCACUGGCGCCGCGCCGCCACGCCGCCGCGCACCGCCGCCGCCGCGCCGUGUCGUAGGCUCUCCGGACCUUCCAUUAUAAUUGAGAGAUGAAGUGAAUAAUUCAAAUCAUCAAACAAGCAUAAUGAAAUAUCCGACGCCUCGAGAGAGGAAUAUUGGAGAUAUUGCUAGGCCUUUAGCCUGCCAGUCAACUUCAGCCUGAGAUGUGCCCGUCAAACCACUCGAAGGCGGCAACCAGAUGUGUUACACAUUCAGGAGACUUGACAAAAAUGGCUAAAGUUCUACAACAUCUCAAAUAUUCCUAACUCAUACUCAUGUGAAUCUAGUUCCCAGGAUGUGCACUAGAUUCACACUUUCAUCUCAAGCAUGAUUAGACAUAGCAAACACAAAUAAGAUGAAAGCGAUUGUAAACUACAUCUACUUUAGUUACAUUGGCCGACUGGCCAAAAAAAAAUAUAUAUAUAUAGAACAGCGGAAGCUUGUCUACCCAAUCCACAAGCACACCGACUAGGGGUUUACCCCAUUAAGUUCAAGUCCUAGAAGAAGCAGUCGAUCACCCGCAUCACUCAAAGGCUAAGUCUAAAUCCUGCAAGCAAAAGUUAAUUCAACAGCAAGAGUCAGUACAUUAUUAGAAAUAAUGUACUGGCUAGCACCAAGACAAGCCUAAGACCCUACUUGCAAGGCAUAUAAUCAAGGAAGGCAUAAUAUGGUUCUUUUUAGCAUAAAGCAAGUUUUAUUUGCAUAAAACACAUUCAAAACGGAUUUGCUUUCAAAUAAAAUUUCAGCAAGCUAGUACUUAGCAUAUGGGCAUCAAAGUAGGCAUUAAUCAUGUAUAAAUAUUCACCUCAUUGCCAUCCAUGGCAGCAAGGAGAUCAUUCUCAAAUCUCAUCACAAUUUGAAGGUAAAUUUCAGCAUUUAGGAGAAUAAACACAAGUCUAUACUCAAUACAUAUCCACACGCCGCUCAUGACCGCGAGCACGGCUAAUCGAUUAGUUUUAACUCUGCAGAGUUUGUACACUUUACCCACAUGAUGCGAAAUAAUAAUCAUGCAAGAGCAUGGCACGCGAUACAUAAGUACCCGAUUUAUUACCCACAACAAAGUUUUUCCAAAAUUCAUGAUUUAGCCUUACACCAGCACGAUACGUGUUCCUCCAUCCUAGUCAUACUAGAAAUAUGACCUAGAACCGUUAAGUGGCGGGCCCAUGCCUUGAACUUAACGCCGUGGUGGCGGACACAACGGGAACCCACCCACGUGGCACAAUACCGUUGUAUUGGACAGACUUAGUCACCUAAACUACCACGUCGGGGUAAAUAGGAAGUUCCUCUGAGUUAUCCGAACUCAUACACACCGGCCUACCAGAAUGUAAGGCUAAACCAUAAAUAAUUUACUAAGCUUGGGCUAUCCCAUACUAGCACAUGUGGUUGUACUGUAUACGAAAUGAACUGACAUUGAGUGAAGUCCUUAGGUCGGUUUGGGCGCACUCUCCCCCUAUCGGUAUACAACUAAUCACCAUAUGUACACCACUUGAGGCCCAAACCUAAAAUCCAUGUUUUCCACUAUUUUAUUUAUCAAAAUCACAAGUUUUAAAGUUCUGUCCAGAUUAAUUAAAAAUCAAUUUUCAUGUUUGAAAUGAGCCCAUAAUGACAAGGAAGACCAUUCUAAGCAUGGCUAAGCUUUAUAGUAACCUAGUGUCACCAAAACUCAUAUAUAAAGUGGUAUAGCCAUAUUGUUCCUAAGGUUAGGAAUGAGGAAUAUGGAUAUAUGUGGAGUUAAGGUGAUAAUGCAAAUAAUAGGAGUUUAUCUAACAAGUUUAACAAAAUUUUAAUUUAUUAGUGUACAAUCGACAUGCAAGAUUUGCAAACAUUUUCAAUAACCUCCAAAAGAUAGGUUCAAAGUGAUCAAAGAGAGGGAGAUGGGACUUGCCUUGAAUCAGGAAAAUGUCAGCACCUAAAUCACUUCUUCACCGAUUAAGCAAUCAUCUAUACAAAGUACACGUUAUGCAAUUAAACACCGAAAUAUGCGAAAAAUCCAAAAUGUUCUAAAAUGCGUGAUUUGUGCACAGAGAAUAGGUACUGGUAUAAAAUGAAUUUAGGUGAAAGAAUUUCUAUUUUAUCUCAUUUUAUUUGGGAGUUAUGAAUUUUAGAAGUUUCGUCGGUAUAGUGUAGGAUUUACUUAGUUACUAUUGUGAAAUGCUGUUGUAAGGUGAUUCUUAUUAAGUUUAUGUUUGCUGGGGUGAAUAUAUUUGUUUUCUAAGACUAACACAUUUGGUUUCAUAAUUUUUAGAGUUAAUAUGAAUUAUUUAUGUAUUUUACAAGUUUUAACGUGUUCUAGGCAUAUAUUCCCUAUGUGUAAAUGGCUUUGGAGAUUUAGGUCCAGAACUUGCUCUAACUUGCUAGUGUUGUAUAAAAUGUGUAUUUUAGUUAACUAAUCUAAUCUUAGUUUAUAAAAUUUAGUGUUCAAAUUACUUUACUUCACAUUUUAUAAGCUAGGGGAUGUUCUAUGUUAGAAACUUAACAUAUCAAUCUGGAGAUUAUUAUAUGAGUUAAGGAUACUAAGUUUUGGUGGAAGGGGAUGGAUCUAUGCCUUCACUGGUUCAACAAGUUUUAUUUGGAUUUAUUUGGAGCUACCAUGCAUAUAUAUACUUUUUCAUAUGUAUUGUUUAACCACUACUAUGUGUUUAGUUCCUAUUCUACCAAAUUAAGGUUCAGAGCCAUGGUCUGUAAAGAGGGUGCUAUAAUUCACUCUACUAAGUUGAAGUAUAUCACUUGCUGGUUCUAUAGAAAAUUUGGUUCACUUCAUUUUGACUAUAGAUGAAUUUUCUACAAAUGUUACAAUUUAAGGUAUGCUCCAUGUUGCUUAUUCCUUACUUAAAUACUUAGGGGUUUUCGUUAUACUGUAAGUAUGUCUUUUUAUUUUAUAACAUUGAAGUGCACAACCCUAUGAUUCUACUGAAUUUGGGUUUACUCAAAAAGGAUCUAAGAUGAAUUUUAUAUAAACUUCUAAAGUUCAGCUUAUGCAAAACUAGUCAUUUUAAAGGUAAUAGUUUUAGAGGCAUUCGAUGUAUAGUAUGUAUACUAUUUCAUUUUGCUUUAUAGGAGAACAUAAGUUGGUGGAUCUGUAGAAACUGAGUUUGCUCCAAAAUGAGUUGAAAUGAAUUUUGUAUGCAUUUUAUAAAUUUGUGCAUGCUUUAUGUGUGAUUUAACUUGGAUAAAUUUUAGAGGCUAAAUUUGUACUGUGAGUGCAAGUUUUUAUUCCAUAACACUAAAGUUCACAAUUUGGUGAGUUGACAGAAAUUUGUAUCAUCUUAAAAUGAGCUAUAUUUAAUUUUAUAUGGAUUUUACAAGUUUUAGGUACUUUCCUUUUAUAAUUUCAGAUUUUUGUUUCCAAGGGGUCCACUGUCAGUGAAAGAUCAAUAUACAAAAAGAUCCCUGAGGUUUCUAAGAAUCAACCCGCAGACCUAGCCUCAUAUGUCAGUGAGUUGAAAAGUUGCACAUUAAUCCUUAUAGUUGUUUAAAUUCUCGAAACAAGGUCCCUGACUUCUUUUCUCAUGCACAGAGGCAGAACAGCCAUGGCUGAGCUCGAUCUCGAGCUCACCGGCGACAAACGAUGGCUCGUUUGGGGGUGCAACCAAAAUACAAAAUGAAGAUCAUGUUAUUGCGAUUCCAUUCCUCUACUUUUCUCGGUCAGUGGACAUCGGAGUAACGCCGGCGGCGAGUCCGAAAGGAGGAUGUUUUCGGGUGGUGAUGCAUGUGCUUCUACAAUCAUGUAUUGGUUAAUUGGGUGCAUGCAUGUAUGUUCUAUAGGCUGAAGGGUGCUCACCGAGAUGCUAGACAUGGCUGGGGUAGCUAGGUUGAUGACGGCGGCUCGUGUAACGGCUCGGCGGCGGCAAGAACCUCCGGGUGAACGGCGAUGGCUCAAUCAGCUCCAAGAA